Molecule: ribosomal RNA, 465 nt
Filed under: Vreelandella stevensii
Lineage: Bacteria; Pseudomonadati; Pseudomonadota; Gammaproteobacteria; Oceanospirillales; Halomonadaceae
Description: partial 16S ribosomal RNA
Rfam family: Bacterial small subunit ribosomal RNA
Source: RNAcentral
CCUACGGGUGGCUGCAGUGGGGAAUAUUGGACAAUGGGGGCAACCCUGAUCCAGCCAUGCCGCGUGUGUGAAGAAGGCCCUCGGGUUGUAAUGCACUUUCAGUGAGGAAGAACGCCUGGUGGUUAAUACCCAUCAGGAAAGACAUCACUCACAGAAGAAGCACCGGCUAACUCCGUGCCAGCAGCCGCGGUAAUACGGAGGGUGCGAGCGUUAAUCGGAAUUACUGGGCGUAAAGCGCGCGUAGGUGGCUUGAUAAGCCGGUUGUGAAAGCCCCGGGCUCAACCUGGGAACGGCAUCCGGAACUGUCAAGCUAGAGUGCAGGAGAGGAAGGUAGAAUUCCCGGUGUAGCGGUGAAAUGCGUAGAGAUCGGGAGGAAUACCAGUGGCGAAGGCGGCCUUCUGGACUGACACUGACACUGAGGUGCGAAAGCGUGGGUAGCAAACAGGAUUAGAUACCCGUGUAGUC